AGUGAACGCUGGCGGUAGGCCUAACACAUGCAAGUCGAACGGCAGCACAGUAAGAGCUUGCUCUUACGGGUGGCGAGUGGCGGACGGGUGAGGAAUACAUCGGAAUCUACUUUUUCUUGGGGGAUAACGUAGGGAAACUUACGCUAAUACCGCAUACGGCCUACGGGUGAAAGCAGGGGAUCUUCGGACCUUGCGCGAUUGAAUGAGCCGAUGUCGGAUUAGCUAGUUGGCGGGGUAAAGGCCCACCAAGGCGACGAUCCGUAGCUGGUCUGAGAGGAUGAUCAGCCACACUGGAACUGAGACACGGUCCAGACUCCUACGGGAGGCAGCAGUGGGGAAUAUUGGACAAUGGGCGCAAGCCUGAUCCAGCCAUACCGCGUGGGUGAAGAAGGCCUUCGGGUUGUAAAGCCCUUUUGUUGGGAAAGAAAAGCAGCAGGUUAAUACCCCGCUGUUCUGACGGUACCCAAAGAAUAAGCACCGGCUAACUUCGUG
Molecule: ribosomal RNA, 492 nt
Filed under: uncultured bacterium
Lineage: Bacteria
Description: partial 16S ribosomal RNA
Rfam family: Bacterial small subunit ribosomal RNA
Source: RNAcentral